CCUACGGGAGGCAGCAGUGGGGAAUUUUGGACAAUGGGCGCAAGCCUGAUCCAGCAAUGCCGCGUGAGUGAAGAAGGCCUUCGGGUUGUAAAGCUCUUUUGUCAGGGAAGAAACGGUUGGGGCUAAUAUCUCCGGCUAAUGACGGUACCUGAAGAAUAAGCACCGGCUAACUAUGUGCCAGCAGCCGCGGUAAUACGUAGGGUGCAAGCGUUAAUCGGAAUUACUGGGCGUAAAGCGUGCGCAGGCGGUUUUGUAAGUCUGACGUGAAAUCCCCGGGCUCAACCUGGGAAUUGCGUUGGAGACUGCAAGGCUGGAGUCUGGCAGAGGGGGGUAGAAUUCCACGUGUAGCAGUGAAAUGCGUAGAGAUGUGGAGGAACACCGAUGGCGAAGGCAGCCCCCUGGGUCAAGACUGACGCUCAUGCACGAAAGCGUGGGGAGCAAACAGGAUUAGAUACCCGGGUAGUC
This 465-nucleotide ribosomal RNA is filed under the name uncultured bacterium. RNAcentral's name for it is "bacterial SSU rRNA". It matches the Rfam family "Bacterial small subunit ribosomal RNA", at positions 338 to 795 of the family's 1533-position model. The record is from RNAcentral.